GACGAACCGUGCAAACGUUAUUCGGAAUCACUGGGCUUAAAGGGCGCGUAGGCGGACAGGUAAGUCAGGGGUGAAAGCCCACGGCUCAACCGUGGAAGGGCCUUUGAUACUGCCUGUCUUGAGGGAGGUAGGGGCGUGCGGAACUUCCGGUGGAGCGGUGAAAUGCGUAGAUAUCGGAAGGAACACCGGUGGCGAAAGCGGCGCGCUGGAUCUCUACUGACGCUGGGGCGCGAAAGCCGGGGGAGCAAACGGG
RNAcentral lists this ribosomal RNA (253 nucleotides) under uncultured bacterium. RNAcentral's name for it is "partial 16S ribosomal RNA". It matches the Rfam family "Bacterial small subunit ribosomal RNA", at positions 524 to 776 of the family's 1533-position model. The record is from RNAcentral.